AUUAACUGGUCAUAAACAGCUAUCGCGU
Molecule: small nuclear RNA, 28 nt
Filed under: Arabidopsis thaliana (thale cress)
Lineage: Eukaryota; Viridiplantae; Streptophyta; Magnoliopsida; Brassicales; Brassicaceae
Description: snRNA_08580
Source: RNAcentral